RNAcentral lists this non-coding RNA (45 nucleotides) under Schistosoma mattheei. The record is from RNAcentral. Lineage: Eukaryota; Metazoa; Platyhelminthes; Trematoda; Strigeidida; Schistosomatidae.
AUCCAACUGACAAGUCUCAAAUAGGACGAAAUGCGUAUCCUGAAU